This 345-nucleotide ribosomal RNA is filed under the name Anaplasma marginale. RNAcentral describes it as "bacterial SSU rRNA". It matches the Rfam family "Bacterial small subunit ribosomal RNA", at positions 1003 to 1351 of the family's 1533-position model. The record is from RNAcentral. Lineage: Bacteria; Pseudomonadati; Pseudomonadota; Alphaproteobacteria; Rickettsiales; Anaplasmataceae.
GGAAGGGCGCUGUUCGGCUGGGCCUCGCACAGGUGCUGCAUGGCUGUCGUCAGCUCGUGUCGUGAGAUGUUGGGUUAAGUCCCGCAACGAGCGCAACCCUCAUCCUUAGUUACCAGCGGCUAAUGCCGGGCACUUUAAGGAAACUGCCAGUGAUAAACUGGAGGAAGGUCGGGAUGAUGUCAAGUCAGCACGGCCCUUAUGGGGUGGGCUUCACACGUGCUACAAUGGCGACUACAAUAGGUUGCAACGUCGCAAGGCUGAGCUAAUCCGUAAAAGUCGUGUCAGUUCGGAUUGUCCUCUGUAACUCGAGGGCAUGAAGUCGGAAUCGCUAGUAAUCGAGGAUCA